UUACGAUUACGUGCUUUCCCACCGCGCGAGAUUUCUCCCUUUGCACAAGUACAAGCAAAUCGGAUAGGUAAGACGCCCAAGGGGUCGAAAUCAAUGGACAAAGAAAAGGGAGCUAUUGUGUUCAUUUACGCAAGGAGCACACGUGUGCAGGCAAUCCCACGGUCUCGCAGGGAGGGUGUUUAUGGUCUAUAUAUAUAAGGGUGCAAUGUUUUCGAAAUAUUACUACUGAAUUUGAAGUGCAACAGUAAACAACAACGGGGACCCGUCGGGUCCCCGAGCCAUCUAAAUGCAAAACACGAACGUCUUUUGCAAAGUAGUUAUCACUAGUUUGUCAAUUGAAACUUUAAAGUUGAAGUGAAGUUAAUUAAUGUUUAGAUAAUUGAAAAGUGUUUUAAGCUCUAUCGAGUAUCCACUGAUUAUAUGAAUGGUGAGAUGAAAUCAACCAAAGCUUACAUUACUUGAGAUUGUGAAGAGUAAGUGUUGAGUUUAAGAAUCAUGUUCAGCCAGAAAGAAAUAAGAAAAAUAUUAACAUGUUCAAAUGCCUAAAGAUACUACAAUUAGGAGCUAAAGGAAUAAUAUAUGGAAUUAAUUAAUAUACGACUUUACAUCUCAUUAGAAACAGCAAUCAAUAUAGUACAAAGGUAAUAAAAAAUUUUGUUGUUUAAACUUUAAUAACGAAUGAAGCGUGUGGUUUUUUAAACACUUCUAUUUUCAUACAGCCUUAAUGUACGGUUUUGUUUUAAAUGCAGUUCAAGUUUUUGUUUUGGUACUCUUAGUUUUCUGUACUUUGUUAUUGUUAACUGUUACGUUUAAAUUACAAGUUGUUAGGUUCCAUUCUCGAGUAUGAUUAAUCUUAAACUUCAUUUAAGACUGUUCUUUUUAAUAGUUUGCUGUUGAAGAGUAACUAAAUUUUUGGUGUUCCACAUUAAGUUUCAUUAUUGAAAGUUUUCGUUAAUUUUUUUUUGUAAAUAUUGUUUUUGUUAAAAAAAAACCGUUACGUUUCAAUUUGUUACCAGUUAUUGAUUUAGUUUCAAAUCGUUAAGUUUUUCCUUUCAAGUUUCGUUACAUUAGCUGUUCUGGGAAUCUGUUUCUUUAAAGCAUUUGUUGAAAGCUG
RNAcentral lists this unclassified non-coding RNA (1114 nucleotides) under Melitaea cinxia (Glanville fritillary). RNAcentral's name for it is "misc RNA ENSMCXG00005010745.1". The record is from RNAcentral. Lineage: Eukaryota; Metazoa; Arthropoda; Insecta; Lepidoptera; Nymphalidae.